Molecule: ribosomal RNA, 292 nt
Filed under: uncultured bacterium
Lineage: Bacteria
Description: partial 16S ribosomal RNA
Rfam family: Bacterial small subunit ribosomal RNA
Source: RNAcentral
GUGUCAGCAGCCGCGGUAAUACGGAGGGUGCAAGCGUUAUCCGGAUUCACUGGGUUUAAAGGGUGCGUAGGCGGGCAGGUAAGUCAGUGGUGAAAUCUUUGGGCUUAACCCGAAAACUGCCAUUGAUACUAUCUGUCUUGAAUAUUGUGGAGGUUUGCGGAAUAUGUCAUGUAGCGGUGAAAUGCUUAGAGAUGACAUAGAACACCUAUUGCGAAGGCAGCAAACUACGCAUAUAUUGACGCUGAGGCACGAAAGCGUGGGGAUCAAACAGGAUUAGAUACCCUGGUAGUCC